Phalacrocorax carbo (great cormorant) is the source of this 5407-nucleotide non-coding RNA. NCBI's taxonomy places the organism in Eukaryota, Metazoa, Chordata, Aves, Suliformes, Phalacrocoracidae. The record is from RefSeq and is a predicted model, not a curated record.
AGGAGGAGGAGGAGGAGGAGGAGGAAGGCUCGCCCUCGUCCCUGGCACGCAGUGGUCCGGGCACCGCAGCCUUCCUCCUCCUCCUCCUCCUCUUCAAAGGAGCAGAUCUCCGACACCCUCCACGCUGGGAGCUGCCUCCCCCCACCCCGGAGCACCCAAGAUGGGGUAGGAGCACCCCCCCCAGCGCACCCAGCACCACCACCCCCAGCCCAGGGUGCACCCAGCAGCACGGGGGAGUGGGGGAUGUAAGCAACCCCCAUGCAGUGCAGCCAGCACCCCCCGGUGGGGGGGAAGGAGAAGGAAGAUGUCCACACCACAGGCAUUUGGAAAGGCACCUUGGGACAUCCCUAAGCAACACCACUUAUUUUGAUCACCUCAUUUCCAAGCCUGAGCUCUGAUUACAGCUGAUGAACCAAACCAAGCAGUGAGGUACCUCCCACCUCCCUCCUUCAGCAAAAAUCAUUACAAAUUUGUAAUACCCCGACACUGAUGAAAAGAAGCAAGUCUUGUUGCCAGAAGUCUGCGAUUGUUCCUUGAUGUCACCAAAUCCAUAAACGUCAUCCAUAAUGAGUGGAAGAGGAAUGUUAUAUUACCUCUAUUACAACAGGGCGACGGAGCAGAACAGCCUCUGUCAGUAUACUGGGGUUUUGUGGGUCACGGAAAGGUUUUAUUUCUCUCUUAGAGCCUUGAAUCCCUGCUUUAAGACAACCAAGGGACACACAAGGCAGCUUUAGAGCUGCUCCUUUUACUUCUCACCCGAUCUAUAUUUUAAGAUGGCUUCUUAGGAGAAGGGCAAACGUAAUAAGCCAGCUACUGUACUUUUUAUAACUCUCAGUCAGGUCUUUGAUUUGGGCCAGCAAGGAAGCUUGUUAGAUCUGAUAAAGCAACUGGGCAUCUCUGGAAAAUGCUAUUAAAAGAACAUGAAACAAAUGAAAAGCUGGGACAGACUCAACGGUAAAUACACGGCCUGGCAGUUCAGCACGGCUACAUCCUGUUUGCCAUUAUUAUUUAAUACUGGCAUCGAUUGCUUGAAGGAUGAGACAGACCAGGCAAUUCUCUGUGGGGUUUACUUGAAUACCAUUUCACUUUGAGAUUAAACAAGCCCACAGGCUUGGAUCACACCGCCUUGUUGGGAAAUUUUAAUUAAUUGAUUUAAUGUCGGGGACUACUGUGGUCAAGCAUUAAACAACACCUCUUUGAUCAUCUACGUGGACAAACCAAGUCCCUGCUAACUAUCAAGCAGUGCCCAACUCCAGGUUUGAACCAGUGCAGCAUUAACCCGCUCCUCUGGAAUAACAACCUGCACAGCCACUCUCCCACAUGCUGGUAGAAUAAGCUGUUCGUACGAAAACAGCUAUUGUCACGGCUCAGGCUCUUUGGUCUUUAUAUGAUAUUUUUUCUGAGAGCCCCCACAGGCUUAGAACAAUUUACACCAGCUCUCCGUUUCACAACAGCCACACAUGGGUACGAAGGGAAGUCUGCAGAGUAAUUAUUUCCACCACCAACGCGUUAGCUGCUCCCCUUUAACGGCAGAACAAGGCUAGUGGCACAGAUAAGGGAGGCUCAACUCAGCAACUACCUCCACCAGGAAUGCUGCAACCCAGCCAGCGGAACUCAGUGCGAGACCACAAAGAAAGGGAAGGUGAUUUUUACUUUGAAGACUGAUUUCACCCAGUCAUUCCUUCAUGCGUGUUCUUGCAUGUUCACAUCUUCACUAGCACCAAGACACGGGUGUCUAAGUGGCCCAGAGAGGUCCGCCUACAGCGAGACAGAAGACAAGUCCUCAGCGUGCCCCUGUGAUUCAUCCUCAGUGGUGAAGACACUGGACGAUGUUUACUGUCUUUAUAUGCUCUCUUAAUACAGGCAGCUCCGCAUCUGCUUGAGUUGCAUCACACUGGUUUUGCUCUACAUCUGUGUUGCGUCAUCUAAGGCAUGGCCUUGCUGCCGCCAGCACUCGUUCCUUCUGCUACGACCUUCCUCUCUGCUCUCCUCUCACUGUUCCCACCCUCCCGAAUUGCAGCAUACGCACCAUUCUUCGCCACGAUGAUUUCUACACAGAACCAUCUGUCUUCCAAAGUCCUCUGCAAGCACCGACCAGUCCCUAGAGACACCUAGGUAUUUAAUUCCCAUUUGAUACACAGGGCAAACAAAAGGCUGAUUUGGCCAGCAGUUUAUUUCCGAGUUGUCCCUGGCAAGGAAGGUCACUUUACGUAGAGCAGAUAAAUUGUCUUACAAACACCCUGCUGGUCCCUGGCUGGAAAUCUGUGGCUACAUGCAUCAGUUCCCAACCUCUAUCUGUCUUUACAACUAAGAACUCUUUCCACCACCACCACCUAAAUCUUUUCCUCAGAGGCAACAGUGAGGAGUUUGGAAGCAGGGUCAUUGCAAAAUAAAAAAAAAAAAAGAUGGAAGGAUGAAGAUGGAAUACCUUUGAGCAGGGGAAGCUUCCUCCCCUGGUUUGGAGGUGUGCAGCACCUUGUGUGUACCUUGUACUGGCAGCACCGUUAAAGAUGCUCAGGAGAGGUCAGCCGAACAGCUCGGAGCACAGCUUUCUCUCCCUGAGACUGAGCAGCUGUCCUGGAACUGGAUGUGGGGCAAAGCUGCAAGGGAACGAGAGGGAGGACAGAGAGCAGCUACUGCCCAUUUUCUACAGGUUCUAACGAACAUUUAUAUUUUUGUCUUACAUGAGCAGGUGUGAAACCUGGCCUGUCUGUCUUUAGAAUUCAGCUCUCUCUCAAGAAGCCAACCAACAAUUUCUCUUUUCAACAACCAUUUUUAUUGCUUUAGACAAUACACCACUGGAGGGGAAAAAAGAAAGAAUUUUCUGCUAUUCUUUACCUUCUUUUCUUUAUUAGAGUAAGUAAAUUCCCUGGGACUAUUGAUAAAAGGUAAACGGUUAACUUUGCAUCUAAGCUGACAACGCAAGUAAAAAGAGUUGGAAAUUCCCCAAAGCAGGCUACUCGUAUAAGAAUAGCGCUGCAAAACUGCCCAAGUAACCGCUCUAUGGAGUAAUUAACUAACAUUUGCAUGGAGAGCAAGUCCUUAGAGCCGUCCCUAACAAGACUGAAAGUCUGUGUCUCAAAAUAACAUAGCAGAGACUCAGGCUUGAAAGUGUCAGCAAGGUUUAGUUCAAGCCAACAGUAAUCAACAAAAAAAUCUUUCCACUGAUUCCAACGGGCUUCGGCUAAGGUCCCUCACACACACACACACACACACGCACACAGAUCUUUGAAAACAGCCAGAAACAGUAUUCCGAAUGCCUUCAACUCCCAGCUCCUGCCGCAGUCCAGCCUUCAUCUCGAAAAUAAAUACACACGUGUUUAACAAUGAAGAAUAUUUACUUUCCUUCAGCUGAUGCAUUCCAUAAAGUGCUAUGUUUCUAAAUUAUACUGAGUUAUAUAUUGCCCUAGUACUUUAAAUACAAUAAAUAUAGAAUGAGCUGUGUGCAACUUCACUUGCAAAUUUUAUUCUUUUUUUAGUAGGCAUACUAAAUUUAGUAAUGAAAAUAGCCUCCCAUAGUACCCCAUGAAAAACUACUAAGAAGUUAUAAAUAACAUCACAUCCUUCAAAGAUAUCCUACGCACUUCUGUCCACGUUGCAUGGCUAAGCGUAGCGUUCCUGCGAGCAUAUGGAGCGAAGAAAAACAAGGAAGCUGAAAAUUACCUAACAAUAAAAAGCAAAACCAUAGAAGUUAAUGCUACAUCUCCUCCCAUAAACAGUCUGUUUUCUACAUUUAAUCUCGGUGCAUACAACCCAGUUCUUCUCUUUUCUUCCUCCCCAUUAAAAAACUCCUCCAGGAAGAACAUCUUGCAAGAUACGGGUUGAUUCAUCUUCAUCUUGCUCCUUUUUACUGCAAAGUGGAAAAGAUUCUUGAACAAAUUGCCUACACAUUGGACACUGCUGAAAAUACUUAACGCAGCCAUCGCACAAGCAGGCGUGCCUGCAGGGCAGGAGUACCCAGUUCACCGGGCCAUUCUGGCAAACAACACAGUCUUUACUGUUUUCUUCAUGCAAUUCUGGCUCAUCUUCAGCCAGUCCGGCCUUUUCUAGCAAGCUUCUGUCAGUGCUCCUCUCACCAGGGGACGUAUCGCUUGAAGAUGGUGCGGUACUAUUCGCAGACAUGAAGAGUUGCUAAAAUACACAUAAACACAAACAUUUAGAAGUCAACAAACUCUACCCCGAUGCCUGAACACACACAGGAAAUGCAAAUUCCACUGGCUUAGGUUCACUGGUUUCCACUGGCUCCUAUAGUGCCAGCCUCACUCUUUGUGUGAGUCCUGACAGUUGCCUGCCCUUCAGUUGAACGUAUUUCAGAUGGAUAAAAUUACAUAGAAUGCUGGGAAAAUAUUAUGGUAAUAGAAAACAGAAUCACAUCAUCAACCACCUGACAGACACAGGACAAAGAUGGUCCCACAACAUGCACAGAUAAGAGAAACCGGAAUGGAAUAAUGAGAAUAUUGAUUGAACUUAUAAUGACAAUCAGGACUUCAACAACAUUGACUUUGGGCACAGAUCAAAAAAAGAGGCUGGACAAGGUGAAAACAGGACGUUGCACCAGAUCGCACUUUGUGGCGCUUCAGCUGUCUGCCCUGGUUCUCCAUGGAGCCCUUCUACGGCCAGUUGACAGCGGGGACCUGCUCUGACUGCUUUCACCUGAUGGACUCAGGCCCCAACCUGAAAAGGCACCUAAGCAUGUGCAGUCCUCCUGAAGCUAACGUCAACAAUGCUACCAGCGGAUAGCGAGAUCUAGGCACCGGGCCAAAAUCGACAACUUGAGCAUCUUCUGGUAACUGACAGUAUUUUUCUUCCUUGUCAUUUUUUUUAAUGCUUUAUAUGUGUCAAGGAAAACAAUCAGUGUGGCUGCAAUUGUAGACAAAUGUGACGUUUGCAUAAAGAAUAUUUUUCAUCGUAUUUGUUCAUAAAUAUAUUGUGCCAAGAACUGCCGAGCAUUCACAAGUCUCAACACUCCCUGUGCCAACAAAUUAGCAUUUUUUGUCAAAACAAUUUUAAAAAAAGGAUACAAGUACUGUUGCCGAUAGAGGUAUUCGCUGUACAGAGCAUCCUCCAACGCCUGAGGAGUCUUUAUUCUGAAGCAGUAGACAUGUUUCUGUAACGCUUCGUGGAGUUUUUGAACGCUGCAGCCCCAGUAGCAUGUAAGAAUACAGUCUUCCAGACAAUCAGGUGUCAGUGUUAUACCCUCUUGUAAAAAGAAGAUAAGGAUUUCAUUGACUCACCCAUGUACAGGAAUUCUGGAACUCCAAAGUGUAGCUUCUUAAACGGCAACAGGCAGAAAACAACUUCAGUGUCCCAGGUUUUAUCAUUAUAAUCUAAUCUUCUAAGAAUUUAGACUAGGUUUAGUGCUUAUGAAAGUCCAUGGAGAUGAGGAAGUGGGUGCGAGGAGAUAAAA